This 1182-nucleotide ribosomal RNA is filed under the name uncultured Enterobacteriaceae bacterium. Its description in RNAcentral is "bacterial SSU rRNA". It matches the Rfam family "Bacterial small subunit ribosomal RNA", at positions 208 to 1373 of the family's 1533-position model. Lineage: Bacteria; Pseudomonadati; Pseudomonadota; Gammaproteobacteria; Enterobacterales; Enterobacteriaceae. The record is from RNAcentral.
GACCUUCGGGCCUCUUGCCAUCAGAUGUGCCCAGAUGGGAUUAGCUAGUAGGUGGGGUAACGGCUCACCUAGGCGACGAUCCCUAGCUGGUCUGAGAGGAUGACCAGCCACACUGGAACUGAGACACGGUCCAGACUCCUACGGGAGGCAGCAGUGGGGAAUAUUGCACAAUGGGCGCAAGCCUGAUGCAGCCAUGCCGCGUGUAUGAAGAAGGCCUUCGGGUUGUAAAGUACUUUCAGCGGGGAGGAAGGGAGUAAAGUUAAUACCUUUGCUCAUUGACGUUACCCGCAGAAGAAGCACCGGCUAACUCCGUGCCAGCAGCCGCGGUAAUACGGAGGGUGCAAGCGUUAAUCGGAAUUACUGGGCGUAAAGCGCACGCAGGCGGUUUGUUAAGUCAGAUGUGAAAUCCCCGGGCUCAACCUGGGAACUGCAUCUGAUACUGGCAAGCUUGAGUCUCGUAGAGGGGGGUAGAAUUCCAGGUGUAGCGGUGAAAUGCGUAGAGAUCCGGANGGAAUACCGGNUGGCGAAGGCGGCCCCCUGGACGAAGACUGACGCUCAGGUGCGAAAGCGUGGGGAGCAAACAGGAAAAGAUACCCUGGUAGUCCACGCCGUAAACGAUGUCGACUUGGAGGUUGUGCCCUUGAGGCGUGGCUUCCGGAGCUAACGCGUUAAGUCGACCGCCUGGGGAGUACGGCCGCAANGGUUAAAACUCAAAUGAAUUGACGGGGGCCCGCACAAGCGGUGGAGCAUGUGGUUUAAUUCGAUGCAACGCGAAGAACCUUACCUGGUCUUGACAUCCACGGAAGUUUUCAGAGAUGAGAAUGUGCCUUCGGGAACCGUGAGACAGGUGCUGCAUGGCUGUCGUCAGCUCGUGUUGUGAAAUGUUGGGUUAAGUCCCGCAACGAGCGCAACCCUUAUCCUUUGUUGCCAGCGGUCCGGCCGGGAACUCAAAGGAGACUGCCAGUGAUAAACUGGAGGAAGGUGGGGAUGACGUCAAGUCAUCAUGGCCCUUACGACCAGGGCUACACACGUGCUACAAUGGCGCAUACAAAGAGAAGCGACCUCGCGAGAGCAAGCGGACCUCAUAAAGUGCGUCGUAGUCCGGAUUGGAGUCUGCAACUCGACUCCAUGAAGUCGGAAUCGCUAGUAAUCGUGGAUCAGAAUGCCACGGUGAAUACGUUC